UACGUAGGAUGCAAGCGUUGUCCGGAUUUACUGGGCGUAAAGAGCGCGCAGGCGGUCGUUCAAGUCGAGUGUGAAAGCCCCCGGCUCAACUGGGGAGGGUCACUCGAUACUGAUCGACUUGAAGGCGGGAGAGGGAAGCGGAAUUCCCGGUGUAGUGGUGAAAUGCGUAGAUAUCGGGAGGAACACCAGUGGCGAAGGCGGCUUUCUGGCCCGUUCUUGACGCUGAGGCGCGAAAGCUAGGGUAGCAAACGGG
RNAcentral lists this ribosomal RNA (253 nucleotides) under uncultured bacterium. RNAcentral describes it as "partial 16S ribosomal RNA". It matches the Rfam family "Bacterial small subunit ribosomal RNA", at positions 524 to 776 of the family's 1533-position model. The record is from RNAcentral.